Molecule: ribosomal RNA, 393 nt
Filed under: Escherichia coli
Lineage: Bacteria; Pseudomonadati; Pseudomonadota; Gammaproteobacteria; Enterobacterales; Enterobacteriaceae
Description: bacterial SSU rRNA
Rfam family: Bacterial small subunit ribosomal RNA
Source: RNAcentral
GGGGGACCUUCGGGCCUCUUGCCAUCGGAUGUGCCCAGAUGGGAUUAGCUAGUAGGUGGGGUAACGGCUCACCUAGGCGACGAUCCCUAGCUGGUCUGAGAGGAUGACCAGCCACACUGGAACUGAGACACGGUCCAGACUCCUACGGGAGGCAGCAGUGGGGAAUAUUGCACAAUGGGCGCAAGCCUGAUGCAGCCAUGCCGCGUGUAUGAAGAAGGCCUUCGGGUUGUAAAGUACUUUCAGCGGGGAGGAAGGGAGUAAAGUUAAUACCUUUGCUCAUUGACGUUACCCGCAGAAGAAGCACCGGCUAACUCCGUGCCAGCAGCCGCGGUAAUACGGAGGGAGCAAGCGUUAAUCGGAAUUUCUGCGCGUAAAGCGCACGCUGCGCUCCUC